UCCCUGGUGGUUCAGUGGGUUAAGGAUCCAGCACUGUCACUGCUAAGGCUUAGGUCUCAGCUAUGGCACAGGUUCAAUCCCUGGCCUGGGAA
This 92-nucleotide transfer RNA is filed under the name Sus scrofa (pig). It matches the Rfam family "tRNA". From Rfam's summary of the family: Transfer RNA (tRNA) molecules are approximately 80 nucleotides in length. Lineage: Eukaryota; Metazoa; Chordata; Mammalia; Artiodactyla; Suidae. The record is from Rfam by way of RNAcentral.